Long non-coding RNA from Nematostella vectensis (starlet sea anemone), 1420 nucleotides. RefSeq lists it as uncharacterized. The transcript has 2 exons. Lineage: Eukaryota; Metazoa; Cnidaria; Anthozoa; Actiniaria; Edwardsiidae. The record is from RefSeq and is a predicted model, not a curated record.
GUUAUUUGCUGUUGCGGGGACAUCCACAGGAACCCUGAAGCCGAGACGGAAAAUAACAACGACUGGCAGAUUACAGAUCCAAAAUGGCGGACGAUGGCGAACAAAUGUUAUGAAUUUUCACAGGCGAAGAAAAACCUAUCUAUACUGCAUUUCUUGCUUGUAAAAUUCCAUGUGCACAUGUUAACUGCAGAAAUAGCCUAUUUACUUUCCUGGAGUUUGGAAUUCGGCGUAAGAUCAUGUGCGAAUAGUGACUUUCUCUCUCUAGAGCUUCUUCUAGGGAACAUAAAGACAAUUUAAGCUCGAAUUUUAUCUCUGAAAGUAGAUAUUUGUGAUUAAUACAAUCUAACCAGAGCAGUACGAGUUCAAAUAAGAACAUUCAGACAAUCCAAAUUUGUUUCAUGAAAUAAUCUAUCGAGCUCAUCAGUGUCGUCCGCCGUCUUGGAUUUUUACGAAACGAAAAUGUCCUCUGGGAACGACCGCAAAGAAAACUAAAUGGUUUACAACGAGUAGUGUAGGCUUCGACUGACAGGCCUGGGAAAAGGGAACAAGAAAACAGUUCCUAAGAAGCCUCCAAAAAGGAGACCUUAGUAGAAUUACAGAAGCAGAUCUAGGGGGAGGGUUUAGGGGGUUUAAACCCCCCCCCCCCCCCUUUGGGCUGCCAGAAAGCCAUAUGUAACAAAAAAAAUACCCCCUCCCCCCUUUUUCACUGAACCAAACCCCCCUUUAGUGAAAAGCUAGAUCCAACCCUGGAUGGGGGGGAUGAAUAGGUUCGCAGAUCGGCGGAUUCAGCCUUGAAAUGCCCACGGAUUAAGGAUUUUGAUGAUUAUUUCAGGGGAUUGGCAGAUUUUGGAAAUACAACGGAUCACGGAUCUGUUGACAAUUUGGGGACAGAUUUUGGAUUUUGACUGCUUUGACGGUUGAAAUCCGGAUUUUAAAUGAAUUUCAAUCGAAUUGUUUAUCUGUCAAAACAUGUGGAUCUAAAAAUGUCUGCGGAUCCACGGAUUUGCCCCGAAAAUGUUGCGGAUCGGCGGAUUUACAUACCCCUAUUCACCCCCCCCCCUGGGUUAUAUUUUAUUGUGCCCUGGCUUACGAAGUGAUGUAUCGUUCUGUGAUUGUUUGUUUUGCUUAGCAUGCUGCCCUUGUCAUUCCAAAAUAUUUAUUUUCAGGGAGCUCAUGACUCGCAUAAGCCCUGGUUUUUCUGUGGGCCUCUCGCCUUGCCAUUUUCCCUGUAGUUAUUGUAUGUAGUCCAACUGUAAUUAUGGCAAACAAAUAAACUGAAUCCAGUGCAAUCAAUUCUUCGCUGUUCUCUAGCUCAUUGGGGAAACUUAGGUGUUGAAUAAUUGUAUUAAAUUCUUGGACAUGCCAAAUGGUUUCUUUGUAAUAGACAUUUUUUAGCUGGAAUAUACGCAGUAAACAUAAA